GAUGAACGCUGGCGGCGUGCUUAAUACAUGCAAGUCGAGCGAACGGACGAGAAGCUUGCUUCUCUGAUGUUAGCGGCGGACGGGUGAGUAACACGUGGAUAACCUACCUAUAAGACUGGGAUAACUUCGGGAAACCGGAGCUAAUACCGGAUAAUAUUUUGAACCGCAUGGUUCAAAAGUGAAAGACGGUCUUGCUGUCACUUAUAGAUGGAUCCGCGCUGCAUUAGCUAGUUGGUAAGGUAACGGCUUACCAAGGCAACGAUGCAUAGCCGACCUGAGAGGGUGAUCGGCCACACUGGAACUGAGACGCGGUCCAGACUCCUACGGGAGGCAGCAGUAGGGAAUCUUCGACAAUGGGCGAAAGCCUGACCGAGCAACGCCGCGUGGGUGAUGAAGGUCUUCGGAUCGUAAAGCUCUGUUAUUAGGGAAGAACAUAUGUGUAAGUAACUGUGCACAUCUUGACGGUACCUAAACAGAAAGCCACGGCUAACUACGUG
RNAcentral lists this ribosomal RNA (497 nucleotides) under uncultured bacterium. RNAcentral describes it as "partial 16S ribosomal RNA". It matches the Rfam family "Bacterial small subunit ribosomal RNA", at positions 28 to 507 of the family's 1533-position model. The record is from RNAcentral.